UCGUGACGCGACGUCAUUGCCGCGGCACGCAUCAGUCAGCACUAACACCGGCUGGCCAUCGAAGGUCGCACUGCGAUACCCAACACAGCACUGCAGCAAAGCACGCGCAACAGCAAACAACAGAAGCAUCCGUUAUACAUAUCGCUCAGCCGCCCUGCCUCGUGUGCUGCGAGAUGAUCGACUACUACCAGUUUCUGGGCUUGAACCGGCAGUCGGGUGAUGACGAUGUGGCAAAGGCCUAUCGCCGGUACGCGCUCGCCUACAACCCGCAGUGUCACCCCGACAGCACCGACCAAGAGACGCUGCAGCGCAACUUCAUGAUGGCGGCGCAGGCGUACACGGUGCUCUCUGAUCCGAAGAAGCGCGCCAUCUAUGACAUCUACGGUGAGGAGGGCGUCCGCCACGGUGGCACCGGCCAACAGGGGGUGCCGGGCGGUAUCGACCUCGAUUUCAUUGAUCCCAACGCCGUCUUCACCCGAUUCUUCGGCGUCGACAACCCGUUCCAGGUGAUCGGCAACGUGGAUGCGGUGAAGAACAACCAGCACAACUUCUUUAGCGUCAUCGCCGGCAUGCCGCCGAACCCGCCCAAAUGCCCGGCGAUCGAAGUAAAGCUGCCGGUGACGCUCGAGGACGUAUUUUACGGCGCCAUGCGCCGAGCCGCGUGGAAUGCGACGCAUGCUGGCGUGCCAACACUCGAUGCUGCUGUGACUACAACGGAGGAGUCUUACGAGGUGCGUGUAGAGAAGGGUGCGAGGACGGGCGAUCAUUUCACUGUCGAAGGCCGCGGCAACACCUACCCGGGGUACGCGCGUGGUGAUGUUGUCGUGGUGGUGGACGUCAUGCCGCACACUCGGUUUCGUCGGGAGGGCGACGACUUGGUCACAAAGGCAGACAUCUCUCUCCGCGACGCGCUCUGCGGCACUACCGUGACGGUGAGCACGAUGGAGGGCCGUGAGCUGUCCAUCCUGAUUGACGAGAUUGUCGACCCUGCCUACCGCACGCGCAUCACAGGGGAGGGUCUGCCGAGCAGCGGCGUCGGUGAUGCCACACGCGGAGACCUCAUCAUCGAGUUUACCACAAAGUUCCCAAGCUUCUUGACAGCGGAGCAGAAGGCAGAGAUUGGUCGUAUCUUGGAUGCCAACUAGCGCCGUUCGCGUCUCUGCUCGUGCUCUGUCGUCUUCUUCUGUGAGUGUAGUCGAUGCGCGCGCGCCGUCAUCAGAGCUUCUUUCUCAUCCGCGGUGGCUCUCCGCAUCGACAUAUGUGUGUGAGUUUUACCUAUGAAAAUGUGUCGACUUGCGCAGCGGCAGUGGUGGCUGUGGUACGCAUAUCUUCGAGCUCCGAGACGGCAUCGGGUACUUUGGCUGGUGGAGGUUCUACGCAGACGAGCUUCAGUGAUAAGAUAACCAGCUCAUGGAGUGGCCAUGUAGAGUUGUAUUGAGACCGUGCAAGGGUGCCUCUGUGCGCAUGGGUGGGUGCAUGACUCACAUGGCGCAUUGCCGUCGUUUUUCUUCCUUUUCGUUGUUUGAUCUGUGUUGAUUCAGUGCGUCUUUUGUGAGCCUCUAUUCGCUUUCUGCGCGCAUCGGUGCCCGAGUCUCUCAGGCGCUGCCGUUGCGCGCUGCUCACGCGCUCUCCUAUCUCGCGGUGUUCGCAGAGAUGCAUGUAUCGUAGCGCAAUUUUGUACGCUUAGCUCUUCCCCUCCCCCUUUUCAAGCGGACACCUCAGC
RNAcentral lists this unclassified non-coding RNA (1723 nucleotides) under Leishmania donovani. RNAcentral's name for it is "gene:LdHU3.32.2550(CDS-product:heat_shock_protein -like_protein_putative)". Lineage: Eukaryota; Euglenozoa; Kinetoplastea; Trypanosomatida; Trypanosomatidae. The record is from RNAcentral.